This is a non-coding RNA of Furculomyces boomerangus, 72 nucleotides long. The record is from the annotation of a GenBank genome assembly. NCBI's taxonomy places the organism in Eukaryota, Fungi, Kickxellomycota, Harpellomycetes, Harpellales, Harpellaceae.
UGCGAAUUAGUGUAAAAGGUAGCAUAUUAGACUCAUGAUCUCAUGGUGAUUGUUCAAAUCAAUCAUUCGCAC